RNA transcript from Mirounga angustirostris (Northern elephant seal), 5206 nucleotides. It is a transcript of the gene named TAR DNA binding protein, with no coding region annotated. Lineage: Eukaryota; Metazoa; Chordata; Mammalia; Carnivora; Phocidae. The transcript has 9 exons. The record is from RefSeq and is a predicted model, not a curated record.
UCUUAUUGUAGCCCUUAAAUCCGCCCCGUUUGCUCAGCCUCCCAGCAGGGAGCGCUGCCUCUCUGGGGAGAAGGUCGUUGUGCCUCCGUGCGGCGUCCUUCCCCUCCUGACGCCGACCGGUGGGAGAGGACGACGGCCGGCGGGGGGAGGAGGCGGCCUUAGCGCCAUUUUGUGGGAGCGAAGCGGUAGCUGGGCUGCUCUUGGAUCCCUCGCUGCUUCGGUUUCCCUGUCGGAAGAGAAACCAGACCGGGCUUCCUAGCAGCGGCCUAGCGGAGAAAUAAGAAAAGAUGUCUGAAUAUAUUCGGGUAACGGAAGAUGAGAAUGACGAGCCUAUUGAAAUACCAUCAGAAGACGACGGGACAGUGCUGCUGUCCACGGUUACAGCCCAGUUUCCCGGGGCGUGUGGACUGCGCUACAGGAAUCCAGUGUCCCAGUGUAUGAGAGGUGUCCGGCUGGUGGAAGGAAUUCUGCAUGCCCCCGAUGCCGGCUGGGGAAAUCUGGUAUAUGUUGUCAACUAUCCCAAAGAUAACAAAAGAAAAAUGGAUGAGACAGAUGCUUCAUCAGCAGUGAAAGUGAAAAGAGCUGUCCAGAAAACGUCUGAUUUAAUAGUGUUGGGUCUUCCAUGGAAAACGACUGAACAGGAUCUAAAAGAAUAUUUUAGUACCUUUGGAGAAGUUCUUAUGGUUCAGGUCAAGAAAGAUAUUAAAACUGGCCAUUCAAAGGGGUUUGGCUUUGUUCGUUUUACGGAAUAUGAAACCCAGGUUAAAGUAAUGUCACAGCGACAUAUGAUAGAUGGACGGUGGUGUGACUGUAAACUUCCUAAUUCUAAGCAAAGCCCAGAUGAGCCUCUGAGAAGCAGGAAGGUGUUCGUCGGGCGCUGUACAGAGGACAUGACCGCUGAUGAGCUGCGUCAGUUCUUCUGCCAGUACGGAGAAGUGGUAGAUGUCUUCAUUCCCAAACCGUUCCGGGCCUUUGCCUUUGUUACCUUUGCAGAUGAUCAGGUUGCCCAGUCUCUUUGUGGAGAGGACUUGAUCAUUAAAGGAAUCAGCGUACAUAUAUCCAAUGCUGAACCUAAGCACAAUAGCAAUAGACAGUUAGAAAGAAGUGGAAGAUUUGGUGGUAAUCCAGGUGGCUUUGGGAAUCAGGGUGGGUUUGGUAACAGUCGAGGGGGUGGAGCUGGCUUGGGAAACAAUCAGGGUAGUAAUAUGGGUGGAGGGAUGAACUUUGGCGCCUUUAGCAUCAAUCCGGCGAUGAUGGCUGCAGCCCAGGCAGCGCUGCAGAGCAGCUGGGGCAUGAUGGGCAUGUUAGCCAGUCAGCAGAACCAGUCGGGCCCAUCAGGUAACAACCAGAGCCAAGGCAACAUGCAGAGGGAGCCAAAUCAGGCCUUUGGUUCUGGAAAUAACUCCUAUAGCGGUUCUAAUUCAGGUGCAGCAAUUGGUUGGGGAUCUGCAUCAAACGCAGGGUCUGGCAGCGGUUUUAAUGGAGGGUUCGGCUCAAGCAUGGAUUCUAAAUCUUCUGGCUGGGGGAUGUAGACAGUGGGGUUGGUAGAGACUGGUGGGAAUUCAAAUUUUUCUAAACACAUGGUAAGUAUAUUGUAAAAUACAUAUGUACUAAGAAUUUUCAAAAUUGGUUUGUUCAGUGUGGAGUAUAUUCAGCAGUAUUUUUGACAUUUUUCUUUAGAAAAAGAGGAAAAGCUAAAGGAAUUUUAUAAGUUUUGUUACACAAAGGGUUGAAAUAUUGAGUGUUUGAAAGUGAACUGCUGUUUGCCUGAUGGGUAAAAACCAACACACUACAAUUGAUAUCAAAAGGUUUCUCCUGUAAUCUUUUAUCCCUGGACUUGUCAAGUGAAUUCUUUGCAUGUUCAAAUGGAAACCAUUGAUUAGAACUACAUUCUUUCCUCCUCGUUUUAAUUUGAACCCCACCAUAUGGAUUUCUCCCUUAGGAAAAUCUCCUUUUUGGAGAUCAUGGUGUCACAGUGUUUGGUUCUUUUGUUUUUGUUUUGUUUUUUUUAACACUUGUCUCCCUUCACAUGCAAAAGUACAAUACGAAGCCUUCAUUUAAUCUCUGCAGUUCAUCUCAUUUCAAAUGUUUAUGGAAGAAGCACUUCAUUGAAAGUAGUGCUGUAAAUGUUCUGCCAUAGGAAUACUUCUGUCUGCACGCUUUCUCAUUCAAGAACUCGUCAGCACGCUGCACAGGCUGCGUCUUUGACGUUUUUAAUAAGUCUGGGUGACCGCACCUAAAAUGGUAAGCAGUACCCUCCAGCUUCUUAUUAGUGCCUCUGUGCAUUUGGGUGAUGUUCUAUUUACAUGGCCUGUAUAAAUCUCCAUUGGGAAUCAUGCCUUCUAAAAAUAUUUGGGCGAGUGGGAAAAACAAUGUUAAUUAUUUUCAAAUGCUUUGUAGCAAAGCAUAGUCAAAAAGAAGGGAAUAUCAGCACCUCUUUCUGGUUCGGGAUUUGAAAAGUGGAAUUAAUUGCGGUAGGGAUAAAGUAGAAGAAACCACAAAUUAUCUUGUGCCUGAAUCCAUUACAAAGCCUGAUAGCUUUAAGAACUAGCAGGGUGGGUUGUCUGUCUGGAAGUGUUAAGUGAAAUGGGCUUUGUCCUCCACAAGUGGGGGAAUAGAGUAAUGUUGAAUAAAAUCGUUUACAAACUCAGAUUAGACUCUCACGACGCAUUGUGAAGUAUGUAAAAGCAAUAAUCUGUUGAUUCUCUGUUGUACUUUUGAUGUAACUACUGUGAGGGUUGAGCUUGUUUUCUGAUGGAAGAAUGAACAGUUUUUGUGUUGGUAGUUUUACCUGAUGCCCUUAUCUGAUUAGAUUAUGAUAAAUAGGUUGGUUUGUCAUUUUGCAAGUUACGUGUUUUAACUUGUAGAAAUGAAGUCGUCCUUUAGACUUGUGAUCGCCACGUUGUUUCGUUAUUCAGUUUCCUCUGUAAAAGGAUCUUGCGUUGUUUUAAUUUUUUUUCUGCAUCUAAGUUGCAUGAUUUCCAAACCCUGUACCAUCUGAAUUUUGCAUUUUAGCACUUGCACUAUUACUCAGCAGCAGUAACAUGGUAACACUUAAAAUGGUAUUCGGGGACCUCCAAAGACUAAACUGACAAGCCUCCAAGGAGCCCGGGGUGAUGGAAAGAUACCUUUAAAAAGGGAGUCUCAAGAAGUUCCCCUUUAACGUGCACAAGAGAAAUCGGGCCAAAACUCACAAUGAAUUUUUACAUGAGUGAUGAUGAUUUGGCUAGAAUGAAACCCUUUGUUAAAUGUGAACCUAUUAGAACUUCUUAAGGAGGAACAGCCAACGAAAAUGACAUGAGAUUUUUAAGGUUAAGUCGGCUUAAAUUGUGUCCUUAGGAGAAGGAAGAUGUAUGUGAUAAUUAGAAUAAUUUGUUGUUGAGUACUAGCAUCAUGAGUAUAACCUUCAUGUAUAAAAAUGGCCUCGGCCCAGGCUUGUGUGUAAUGAGCCGACAGUCUCUUCACGGUACCCAUUCUGAUGUCUAAGGAGGAGGCAGCUUCUUUCUGCGCGUAUACAGCGUGAGCAGCUGUUAGGAUCCAGCCGUCCUGCAGGAGUGCGCCCGCUGCUGUAGCUUGACCUAGUAACAGGACUUGCCAGGGGAAAUCACCAAGCUUCGCCUUCUGCCCUCCGUAUAUACGACCUCCUAUGGUACGAGUUGAUAUUCCACAAACUGGGGAAAGAAGCAGAGCCUUUAUAGAAACCCCGCGGUGGUUUUUCCCACAAUUAUUACCACUUUGGAAUUGUGUCUGAUGUCAUCCAAAAGUUACCUCGGGUUGAUGGGGCGCCCACCUAAACAGGUGAGGCUGCUUUUUAAAACACAGUUCAAAGACCCGAUAAAACCUCUUGGUAAAAAUGAGGUGAGUGAAAAUUAACAUUUAGAAACUAAUUUGUUUUGCUAAAAUAAUUUGGUCUACACGAUCGGGAAAAUUAAUAGGGCAAACAGGAAUUGUAUGAGCUGAUGUACUGGGUGAUGUGAUUAGAAAGUGAAAGGAAAUGACCUUUUCAUUGCUUAUUUUCCUACUUGUAAAAUGGGGUAUUUUCCAUGUAGUUCUGGGAAAGCAGGAACUAAGGUCACUACCCCAGGAUUUGCAAAAUUCGUUUCACCUUUGAACAUACAAAUGUUUUAAAAAUCAGGAUGUUGCAGUUGUAGCCAGGAACCUUCAGGUUCAGGAAUUUUUUGGUCUAGUUGAGGCUUCCAAACUAAAUUUACUGUGUAUGGCUAACAAUGUGCUCAUUAAUGUAGCAGCUAUGCCUCCUGUUGUGUCAGAAUACUGGCAUUAAAACUUAAAAUGUUGUGUCAGCUAAGAUACCUUUUUUUUUUAAGCCAAAUAACAAAGGAGUAAUGAAUAUAUUACCACCUUUCUUAUUUUUUUAAUCACUGUACUCAACUUUAUCUUUAGAGCCAAUUCUGGUAAAAAAAAUUUUUUUUGAGUACUAUUAAAAGGCAAAUUGCAUUAAUGUUUAAAAACUAGAUGUCACUGAAAACAAUUGCUUAGGGAAAUAAUGAAGUUAUUAGCUUUGGGGUUUUAAUAGUUACACAGAGAAAAGUAACUCCGCAGCAGAACUUGUGUUUAUAAAUGUAUAAAUGGUUCAAGAUAAUUUUUAAAAUAAUUUUUUAUGCUUGCCUGGUUAUAAGGUCAGAUAUAAUCAAGUGACUGAUAAAGUCAGCACCUAGCAACCUCUCCGACCAGAAAGGGGGUGAUAAGAACGUAGUAUUUGGAAAUAACAACUUGGUGUAAGAACCAAGUGCUGAAGUUCCAUUUCUGCCCACCACAGCUAAAGCUCCGCUGAUGUCUCCCACCCAGUUCUACUUCCAUCAAUAAGAAUCUCCUGUAUAAAUGUAUCCAUUACCAGGCUCACAGACUGGGAGUGAUGUUUCUCCUUUGGAGCUCGUCCAGAAUCCAUCAGCCUCACACACAUAUUUACCUGCAAAUCAUUGGAAAAGCAAAAAUGUUUAACUGCAUGUAUAAGGUGGUUGUCAUUUGCUUGAAUACCCCCUUGAAAAAUGUUGAUUCUUGAGCAUCAGUGGGAAGUAGAGGUGUCUGAAUAACCAUUUUACAUGAUUUCAUGAAUAGGAGGUCUCUGCAUUAACCAUGUUUGCUUGCAAAGUGGAAACCUUUUAGAUGUGUAACUUGAAUAUGUAUCAAGAUCUCAAGUGCUUAAUGAUAAGGUUUUGACUUGUUAAAUUAAACCAUUUGGAAUAUA